Malus domestica (apple) is the source of this 2830-nucleotide non-coding RNA. The record is from RefSeq and is a predicted model, not a curated record. NCBI's taxonomy places the organism in Eukaryota, Viridiplantae, Streptophyta, Magnoliopsida, Rosales, Rosaceae.
CCAAGGGUAAUUUUGUCAUAAAGCUAUUUUUAAAGAACAAAGUCGCUGGAAGGUUUCAGUUGCCAUCCUCUUUUCUGCUUCUUUCUUUCCAUCUCUCUCUGCCCCAGUUUCUUUAUCUCCCAAACCCUAAUUUUUCUGUCUUUCUGAUCUCAUGUCUCUACUCGUGCCGAUCAAUCGAACACCGUCCAGGAAUGCGUCUCCGAAUUCAUUAGCUUCGUCACCAGCGAGAGAUUGGGUUUUUCGAGUUUGUGACUUUUCAUUGAAGCCUGCGAAGACCUGUGUGUUUAAGGAGAUCCGGUUUUUCGGGUUUCUGACGUUUCUUUGCAGCCUGCGAAGGCCUCUGUAUUUAAGGGAAGAAAUUUUAAACCUACAAAAGCUUGGUUUUCAGGAAAUCGCCAAUCCUGCAGAAACUUUGGGUUUCCUGGCGAGUUCUCCGACUUAUUUGUUUCGGCUUUCUCACCAGAGAUCUCCGCCAUCACUGCUACACCAAACUCGCCGAUGGCGUCCCACUCUCUCAAACCAGAUCUUUGAGAGGACACACAUCAUUUAGCCGAUUGCAUAGGAUUGCUACAUCUGAACACUGUACAGGCCUCUUGAAUUUUGAAUUGUGAUUGAAAAUUGGAGUCCACACAUGGAGUAUAGGGAUGUUUGAUGUUCUUCUUCAGGUGCUUCUUCAGGUUCUUCUUCAGGUUUGUUCUAGAUCUUUCAAAGGACGCAUUUUCUUUUUUAUCCAUACCUUUACUUUUAUAGUAUGUUAUCACAAGAAUCAAUUGCCACCCAUAGUUGGUGGUAUUAUCUUUACAACACAUUCAAAGCAGUGAAUAAAAUCGCACUUGCUAUUUGUUCUGUCGAUUGGACUACUAGAGUAGAACUAUAGAAAUAUUUGGUGAAAGCAAUGAAGAAAUCAUUAUGAUUGAUCUGCAAAGAAGCUCUAAUAAGUUACAAGAUAGUAGCAAUGUAAAUUGAACUACUUAUUUUAUGGAUCAAUUCACCUAUCUCUUGCUUUCUUUCAUUUGGAGAUAAUUGUGUAAAUGUGUGGUUUUGUGAGUGUUACUCAUGUGAAACAUGUGUUGUCUGAAUUGCUACGUUUAAGAAUGUUAUUGUAAUUCUGUAGCAUUUUCAGUUAUUUUUUCUAUGAAUAUUAUCCAUGGUUUGAAAACUCGCAGCAAAGCGCGAGCAUUCCUGCUAGUGAUAUCGAUUCUGAAAGCAUGCUGAAAUAAGGUCGUUUGACCGCAAUUCACAAGAAUUGCUCUGCUGCGGUCCGAUCGGUUCAAAUUCAAACAACCCCAAUUAGGCUUCCACAACAUCAACAACCCAUGCGUUGAUCUGUACUUCCACUGCGCCAAGGACGCCAUGUCGACCGUGGAAUUCCACAAAACUCUGAUGAACCAAGUGUUUCCCUCAGCUGGUCGCACAAUCCUCUAACCACCCAUAAACUCAUUUGCAACUUCAUAGACAUACGCGACUAUGGUGGAAAAUGUAACCAAGACGAAGCUUUCUUCGCGGCAGCGGUUUGGCUCCACCAGAACCACCCCAAAACCCUUGCCUACAAUCUUGUGCCAAUUUCCGGCUCAUUUGGACAUAUCCUAGACCUUCCUUGCAUUCUCUCGCAGGUUUUACGGGGUGAAGCUCACUUGAAAUUUACUGGGAGGACGAGGGAGGAGGCAGAUUCAAACAAAAUGGUGAAGGUCAAGGAAAAGAACGUCAACUCAAAGGCAAGCGAAUUGUUGUUAAGGAGGAAGGCGAUCCACACGACCAACAAGGCGGCUCAGAGAUACGAGUGCGACGUUGAUUAUCGCUUAUUGCACGAAUGUGUUUCGGAUAUUUUUGCCCUGUGCCUUGAGUUUGAUAUUGAAAAUUUCAUCAUCACAAGGACCAUGACCAUCAUGAUGAUUACUGCUUGGAGAUUACCCAAGCGACUACCUUUUUGCCUACCAUCGCUGAUCAUCAUAUGUUGUCAGAAUCAUGCCUCUGAGAAGGGGAUGGUAGUCUUUGUUGUAUUGACCGACUGAGGAAGGAGGUUUUGUCGCCCUUGAGAAAAACUAUGGCAUCAGAGGGCUGGGAACCUGCCAACCGGUGGGGUUAUAGAGCGGAGUACAAGCAAGAGCAACUGGCUGCAACCAAUGAGGUUGAUCCUGGCGAUGCAGCUGCUUUCGCAUGACAUAUUAAGCUAUAUCAAGUAACUUGAGCUCGAACAUGAGGCUGAUGUUAAGUGGAAGAAAGUGAUGGAGGUCUACUCAAAGUAGGGAAAGUAUAAGAAUUGGUUGGCUAUGUGAUGUCGACAACACCUUGUCGGCAAGUUUGGCUUUGGGGCUUUUGUUGCUUCAAUUGAGUGAUGAGCCAUGGAAGGGAAAAGUGGUCACCUAAAGCCAAAACCCUUAGCUGCAUUCGAUACAAGGUGAGGAUCUUAAUUCGAGGGCUGAAUAUAUGUAGACUUUGAUCAAAAGCCAGGACUGGACAACUGAUUUCGGGAAGGUGUUCGAUGUGAUUCUAGAAGAGGUAGUGAAUGAGAAUUUGAAGCCAGAUAAGAUGGUCAAGAAGGUGCUUGCCUUGACCACAUACAAACACUUCUUGACAGGCAGCAACUUCAACUUCUGGGGGGAGAUUAAGAUGUCUCCCUUUGUUCUUCUAGUUUCUGCUACUACUUUCACUUCUCCAAAGCUCUCAUUCUUUCUUUGAGUUCUGAUGAGACUAAGAAACAGUAUAUAUAUAGGUGUAUAUGUGCUGCUAAUAAGUGUGUGUGUGUGCGCGCGCGCGCGUGUGCGUGUGCGCAUGUAAUUAAUACUUUUGUAGAGAAGAGCAAAGUGAGUGACAAAAGUGGGACUGGAAA